AAAAUACUCCCUCCGUCCCAAAAUUCCCGUCUUAGAUUUAUCUAGAUAUGGAUGUAUCUUAGAUUUGCCUAGUCACGUUUUAGUGUUAGAUAAAACUAGAAACAUCCGUAUCUAGACAAAUCUAAGACGAGAAUUUUGGGACGGAGGCAAUAUAAA
Triticum aestivum (bread wheat) is the source of this 156-nucleotide non-coding RNA. NCBI's taxonomy places the organism in Eukaryota, Viridiplantae, Streptophyta, Magnoliopsida, Poales, Poaceae. The record is from Rfam.